RNAcentral lists this transfer RNA (88 nucleotides) under Fibrella aestuarina BUZ 2. RNAcentral's name for it is "tRNA-Ser (TGA) (tRNA-Ser-TGA-2-1)". Lineage: Bacteria; Pseudomonadati; Bacteroidota; Cytophagia; Cytophagales; Spirosomataceae. The record is from RNAcentral.
GGAGGUACAAUCCGAUAGCCGGCGACGGAAGCGGUCUUGAAAACCGCCGAGGAUCACACCCUUGCAGGUUCGACCCCUGCUGCCUCCG